GUGAUGAAAUCACGUGAGAUCCCACACCAGACUUCAGAAAGAGGUGAGAGAGGAGAAAUCCAUGAUUCCUCAUCUGGACUGUACUUAUUUAACAACAGCAGCAGUUCAGCUUCUUCAGUUUCUUCACGAGGAUCACAAGCAAAUCAUAGUACGUGAACAUUUCUACAUAUAUCGAUAAAGCGGCCGGUAAAAAAAUUACUUGAAGAAAAUGAGCCGUAAUUUCUGCAACGGUGGAUUUUCCCACUCUACUAAAUUGAUAUCGUUGAUUUGUCUACUGCUUGUCCUCUCACAAUCGACAUCGAUCAUCGCCGCACCGUUCGACGAACAUGAGGUUGGCGCCGAGAUACCAAAAUUCACGGUGUCUAACGAUAAAGUCACUGAACUACACAAAUGUCCAAUUCUCGCCUGUAGAAUGAACUGCCCUUCGGGACUUGAAAUCGAUGAGAACGGCUGUAACAAAUGCAAGUGCAAGAGUCCCUGUCGCGACUUUAUUUGCCCGGAAGGUGAAAUAUGUGAUGAUUCAAUUACCGUGAAUUGUUUUCGGGCGCCAUGUCACCCGAUACCCAUCUGUAAGAAGAUCAAAUCAAUGAUGUAAUUUCUGUCUAAACGAAGUCCAAACAAGAAUACGGGAUCUGCUGUAAUCAUCCAAACAGAAAAUUUAUAGAAAUAUUUUACUAUACGAUUACAACAUUGCAAAAACGUAGCGAAAUAUUGUUGUAACGUUGCUACAACUUUGCAGCAAUGUUAAAAUGUCAAUCUUCAGAAAGAAUACAAUGAAACGUAACAAUUCAUUGCAUCACGUUGUUAUUGUACUGUCUGUACUAUAUAAUAUUUUUAUAUAGGAAUUUUUGUACUUAUGUUGAUUGAAAUAAAAAUUUUAGUACU
Long non-coding RNA from Cyphomyrmex costatus, 885 nucleotides. RefSeq lists it as uncharacterized. The record is from RefSeq and is a predicted model, not a curated record. NCBI's taxonomy places the organism in Eukaryota, Metazoa, Arthropoda, Insecta, Hymenoptera, Formicidae. The transcript is spliced from 5 exons.